GAGGGUGAAGCUCAGGUGGCAGAGCAUAUGCCUAGCAAGCACAAGGUCCUGGGUUCAAUCCCCAGUACCUCCU
This 73-nucleotide transfer RNA is filed under the name Camelus bactrianus (Bactrian camel). It matches the Rfam family "tRNA". From Rfam's summary of the family: Transfer RNA (tRNA) molecules are approximately 80 nucleotides in length. Their secondary structure includes four short double-helical elements and three loops (D, anti-codon, and T loops). Lineage: Eukaryota; Metazoa; Chordata; Mammalia; Artiodactyla; Camelidae. RNAcentral also lists the same sequence under 2 other names. The record is from Rfam by way of RNAcentral.